GUUUAUCCUCUAUUGCUACUAAUUCCAAUAUUUCUCUUUCUUCACAUGAUUCUUCGAGCGACAAUGGCGAAAGUGAGGAGGAAUCAAACGACGAGGAUAUAGCGGAAGCAUACAAUCAACUUCUUAUUGAAUCAAAGAAGGCGGCUAAACUUAAUAAGAAGUUGAGGCGUCGUUUGUUGAAUCUAAAAAGAGGAUAACAACAACUUGAAGACCACGAACAAAGCUCUUUAGGAGGAAAGGGAAUCAAUUUUGAAAAAUAAUUCGGACCUCCAAGAGAAGCUCAAUGAAGCGAAAUCAACGGUCAAAUCAUCUAAAGACAAGAUUGGAUUUUUGGAGCAUCAAUUUCAUGAAUCACACAAAUCCAAUCCAUCCUUGACCAAUCAAGUUCGUCAACUUCAAUCCGACAUUCAAAGAUUUUCUUCGGGGUCUAAGAAGUUGGAUCAUAUGCUCGGAUUGGGUCAAAUGAAUAAGUUGGGCCUCGGAUAUGAAAGAACAUAUGAUGAGAAGGAUUCAAAAUCAACCUCUAAAGUCUCAACAACUUUGAAAGAGAAGGUGUGUCAUAAAUGUGGCAUCAAAGGACACAUCAAAAGGAGUUGCCCGAUCAAGACAAAGAAGAAUCAAUUGGCAACUUCGCAACGUCAAUCGGCAUCAUCUACAACUCGACUUCCCCCACGGAAUCAAAAGCAAAAUCAAGUGAGUCGAGUACCUCAAGAGAAUCGGAUCCCACCUAAGCCACAAAGCAAACCGGAUUUCUAAGCCUAAACGACAAGUUCAACCGAUGCCUCAAGCUAAGAAACCACCAACGGUUGAUAAAAAAUCUAAACAAACGGCACCUAACGUCGACAAGUCGAGAAAACCAACGGUCCGACAAGUUUGGAUCCGGAAAGGUGAUAUCUUUCCU
Molecule: long non-coding RNA, 901 nt
Filed under: Ananas comosus (pineapple)
Lineage: Eukaryota; Viridiplantae; Streptophyta; Magnoliopsida; Poales; Bromeliaceae
Description: long non-coding RNA (ACOM_LNC043204)
Source: RNAcentral